AUGAGAUUUGCACAAGAGCAAGAAAGUUAUAGGAAGGAUGUGGAGCGUGCCUUUGGUAUUCUGCAAUCUCGAUGGGGCAUCGUUCGGUAUCCUGCUAGAACUUGGAGUAUCAGGAAGUUGUGGGAGGUGAUGACUGCUUGUAUGAUCAUGCACAGUAUGACCGUAGAGGAUGAGUGCUCGAAAUGUAUCUACGACCAAGGGUUUCAGUUUCAAGGUGACAAUGUUGUACCUGAGCAUGGAGGAGCGGCAAUGUUUGCACAAUUCACCCAAUUUCAUCAUCAAAUGCGUGAUUGGAAAACUCAUAUUCAGUUGCAAGAUGAUUUGGUUGAGCAUAUUUAG
RNAcentral lists this ribosomal RNA (339 nucleotides) under Triticum aestivum (bread wheat). RNAcentral describes it as "partial small subunit ribosomal RNA". Lineage: Eukaryota; Viridiplantae; Streptophyta; Magnoliopsida; Poales; Poaceae. The record is from RNAcentral.